GCAGAGUGGCCUCUGUGGCCAGGGAGCCGCAGGCAAGGGACUAAGGGGAGGGGGGCUCAGUGCCAGCUGCUUAAAAAUGCCCCUGUGGCAGCGAGGGGCACCAGAGGCUGGGUCUAAUUAGUUGAGAAGCAGUGACACCCCCAACCACUCCCCAAACAGGCUGGCUCCCGUCUCCAGGCCCCAAGGAGCCACACCUGGACCAGACCCCAGGAAAGGCAAGGGCGCUAGCUGGUGGGAGCCACCCCGCCAUGCUGAUGUCAGAGAAGCAAGAACUCUGGAGAAGCAGCCUCCUGGGACCAGAGGAGGGCCAGCAGCAGGCAGCCCGGAGACAGAACUCUCACCCACGCCUCUCCAAGCCUCCCAACAGAAGACAGAGGUCCCCCACAGCCAGAGACAUUUCCUGAAGACAUGGGGAACACAGAGGCAGAAACAGCCCAUCCACCCAGGAGCUGUCCCCCACACUGCCGGGAGCCGGCACCCAGAGCCGCCAGACACAAAGGAACAGAACGAGGCACCAACAGCAAGGGGCAAGCAGAUUCAAGGGCCACAGAGGAGAUGGAGGCAAACACCUUCCCCUGGUCAGAGGCUGUGCCUCAGCCCUUCUCCCUGCAUCAGUUUCUCCUUCAGAAGCAUGGGACUACCUCCCAUCUAGUUCUCGUUUCUAAACCUAGGGGAGAUGCUAUCUUUGCUGCAAUAAUCUUAGCCUACAUCUUGGAAUGGAAAUGGCCUUGGUGGAAAUGGUCUUCAACUCCUCUGGUCCAAGCUCAGGCCCUGUGACCCUGGAACAAUCCCCUUCCUGGUCCUCCAUGUAGGAGCAAUAACAUUCCCUUGCCAGCAGCACCAGCCAUUCUGAUGAUUAAAUGGUAUCGGACUCUGUUUUCCAAACUCAGUCAUUCAGAUGCCCCCUAUUUUAUUUCUUCCAUGUCUGCAAAUGAUUAUAAUAUUUUUAAAUGUAGGAUGAGUCCUUUUUAUUACACAUAGAAAUAGCUACUGUAAAUAGCAAACUCUAACACUGUGCCUAAUUAGGAAAUAAAGGUAACCAUAAAUACAGUAAAAAUGAAACAAUGUUAUUAUGGUUUAACCUGAUAGUGUGGCUUGCAAGGCCCUGGGCCUGAAGCCUGGGCAAUAAGUGAGAGUUAGAAAGGUGUCAAAGACAUGAUAGCAGCAAACUGAGGCUUUGUACCCCACGGUAAAUAGGACUGAAAGCAAAUUCACAGGGAGCAACUGAUCCAUUCCACAACAGAAUGCUCCCUGUCAAUUCGCUUUCCAUUCUGUUGUGUCCUGUCUCCCAGCAGAGACUACAAACUCCCCAAAACCACUUACCCACCAGCUGCACGUGAGAAGCCAAAGGUAGUUUAUGUGAAAGGGCUUUGGAAAUAAUCACGCACCAAGUGAAGGCAGAGGACACACCUUGUCAGCUUAGUUCUCAGCAGCAAAUCAUCUCUUUUCCAGGAUAACCCUCCCUGAUUCUUAUUGAAAUCUCUUUGCUGACCACACUAAGCUCUUCUCUCUCAGGGGCAGUGGGAGCCGUGGAGAGUGGAAUAGACCAGCUGUCUGUGACCUGCGAGGGAGUCCAAUGUCGGAAUCACUCCCCAGCCAAAUGCACGGUUUUAAAAAAUCUAUUUAUUUAUUUAUGUAGAGACCAGGCUAUGAGACUGGCUAAUUUUUCGUAUUUUUGGAUAGAGACAGGAUUUCAUCGUGUUGCCCAGGCUGGUCUUGAACUCCUGGGCUCAAGCGAUCCACCUGCCUCGGCUUCCCAAAGUGCUCAGGAUUACAGGCGUGAGCCACUGUGCCCAGCCACCAAAUGCAGUUGAAAAGAGUUUCUGCAAGAUAAUUCCACAGAAGAGGAAAGCAGUUAUCUGGCUGGGAAUACCUUAGACAGAGGCUGUCCUCUACACAGGCUGUCAGAACUGACCUACUGACCUGCCUGCUGGCAUGAUAGACCAGAGGGAAACACUCUUUCCACUCUUCCCAGACUGAGUGUAAGAGACAGACUUUUUUUUUUUUUUUUGAGACGGAGUCUCACUCUGUCACCCAGGCUGGAGUGCAAUGGCAAGAUCUCGGCUCACUGCAACCUCCACCUCCCCGGGUUCAAACCAUUCUCCUGCCUCAGCCUCCCAGGUAGCUGGGAUUACAGGCUCCCGCCACCACGCCUGGCUAAUUUUUGUAUUUUUAGUAGAGACAGGGUUUCACCAUGUUGGCCGGGCUGGUCUCGAACUCCCAACCUCAGGUGAUCCGCCUACCUUGGCCUCCCAAAGGGUUGGGAUUACAGGUGUAAGCCACUGCUCCCAGCCUUUUUUUUUUUUUUUAUUAGAGACAAGGGCUCCCCAUGUUGCCCAGGCUGAUCUUGAACUCUAGGCUCAAGCGAUCCUCCUGCCUGAGCCUCCCAAAGUGCUAGGAUUACAGGCAUGAGCACUGCUCCCAGCUCUGUUUUUGUUUUUUUAAGGAGGUAUAUUUUUUCUGUUCUCUCUCAGCCCUGAAGAAAGGCUACCCAUCCCCUUCAGACAUUCCUGAAAAUAUAUGUCAUCCAACAUCAAGGCCACCACAGUGACCACUAAGCAAUGCAAGAAGGUCCUCUGGGGUGCCCUGAGAUCUUGGCAGGGCAGGAAGAGUGAGAAGGGGCUUUGCCUGCUCACCUGAAAGUUCCCACCCAAGCCGGGCCCAGAAAACAAAAUGAAUUAUCUACAUGGUCAUCCAAUCAGCCACCAAAUGGCAUUACCUAGGUCCAUCAUCAUGUACCAAGCCACAGGUCAGACCCAGGGCCCCCCAAAUUAACAAGACACAGGCACUGUCCUCAGGAAGUGGAGAUCUAGCCAGGUCAGACCCACACACAAAUAACACUGAUACUAGAGAUAAUGAGAUUGGGAAUUAUGAUUCAGCCAUUCAACCUGGGCUUAUGUGGCAUCUACACCACCUGGCCCUGAUUUCAGUAGUGAGCACAGUUGACAGGGUCCCUUCCCUUCACAGGUGAGCCAUGUAGUCCACAAGUGGAGGUGGUCGUAAGUGAAAACCACAUUACCAGCAUGGUAAAGGGUUAGAAAGAGGGCACCGGGUGGGCGAGAACAUGAAGCAGGGGGUGCUGAUGGCUAAAGAAGUAAAGGAGGGGCUGGGCACUGUGGUUCAUGCCUAUAAUCCCAGCACUUUGGGAGACCAAGGCGGGUGGAUCACCUGAGGUCAGGAGUUCUAGACCAGCCUGGGCAACGUGGUGAAACCCUGUCUCUACUAAAAAUACAAAAAUUAGCCAGGCAUGGUGGUGCACGCCUGUAGUCCCAGCUACUUGGGAGGCUGGGGCAUGAGAAUUGCUUUAACCCGGAAGGUGGAGUUUGCAGUGAGCCGAGAUCGUGUCACUGCACUCCAGCCUGGGCGACAGAGGGAGACUCUGUCUCAAAAAAAAAAAAAAGUCAAGGAGGGUUUCCCAGAGUGGCCACUUGAUUAGAGACCUAGCACAGGAGGAAGAGAUGGGCAGGGAGAGUGACGGGGAGCAGCACAGUCCCUGGGAGCCCGAAGUGGGUGGGCACAGGGCUCCCUAGGAGAAUGGAAGGACAUCUAUGAGCUGUAGCCCAAGAGGAAGAGGUCACUGGGGCUAGAUGCGGCAGACCCUCGCAGGCUUUGGGAAGGGCUUCAGAAUUCAGCCUGAGGGCAAUGGGGAGCCCUUUUGGGAUAUUAAACUUGAGUAAGAUAUGAGCAUAUUUGCAUCUUGAAAAAUCAUUAUGGGAAGAUGGCUGGGAAGAGAGGAGGAGUGGCAGAAGAAAGAUAGGUUGGAGACAAUUGAUUGCUCGAUGAUAUAAAAUGUUAAGUACCAUGAAUGAUGCUGUUAGGCUGGAAUGCGCCAAGCAUAAAGGUGGGGCAUGGCAUCAAAAGGUAGGUCAACAUAUUAAAUAAUUCCAUGUAUUGAAAUAUCCAGAAAAUAUAUAGACAGAUCUAUAGAGAUAGAAACUGGUCUGCCCAGGACUAGGGGUUGUCUAAGGAUAAGGAGCUUCUUUUUUGGAUGGUGAAAUAACCUAAAAUAUAUUGUGCCAUUGUUUGCACAACUUUGUGAAUAUAUUAAAAACCUGUUAAUUGUACUCACUAAAUGUCCUCCUUCUAAAUUAAGCUGUUCUUGACAAGAAAAGGAAAGAAACAAAGAAAAGAAGAGAAAAAAGGUCAAGGUUUGGUCCUGGGUGCUCAAAUGGCAGGCCACAGACAGGAAACACAGUUGUGAGGAAUUACAACAGCCUCCCGGCCAGAGCUGGAGAGGUGGAGCCCAGGUCCCCUCUAACACCCCUUCUCCUGGCCAGGUUGGAGUCCCGCCACAGGCCACCAGAGCGGAGCAGCGCAGCGCCCUGUCUCCCAGCCUGAGGUGCAGUGCUGCAUCUCUGGUCAGUUGGGAGUCUGAGAUGAAGCACUGUAGCUCAGGAAGAGAGAAGUUGUUCUGCAGCCAUCAGCCUGGAAGUGGUAAGUGCUGGGGGGUUGUGGGGGGCCAUAACAGGAAGGACAGAGUGUUUCCAGACUCCAUACUAUCAGCCACUUGUGAUGCUGGGGAAGUUCCUCUACACAAGUUCCCCUGGUGCCACGAUCUGCUUCACGAGUCUGGGCAUGUCCUGACUCCUCUGUGUACCCCAGUGUGUCCAUCUUAGCAUGAGGCGUUAGCAUUUCCCCAGCACCCUGCCUCUGCUUUCUCUUUCUGAGCCCAUGGCAGACACAGCUAAUCAGUAAAGGCAUAUAUUCUUUUUUUUUUGAGACACAGUCUCACUCCAUCACCCAGGCUGGAGUGCAGUGGCAUAAUCUCAGCUCACUGCAACCUCCUCCUCCCAGGGUCAAGCAAUUCUCGUGCCUCAGCCUCCCAAGUAGCUGAGAUUACAGGUGUGCGCCACCACACCUGGCUAAUUUUUGUAUUUUUAGUAGAGAUGGGGUUUCACUAUGUUGGCCAGGCUGGUCUCAAACUCCUGACUUCAGGUGAUCUGCCCGCCUCGGCCUCCCAAAGUGCUGGGAUUACAGGCAUGAGCCUCCACGCCCCGCCAGGCAUCCAUUCUUGAAGUGCUCAGAUGCAGCUUCAGAAUCCUCAACAAUGAGCCCUGGAAAGCCACUAGUACUGAUUCACAGCUGAAACUCAUUCAUCAUUUGUGGAUCAAACAAUUCCUAAAAACCCUUUCAGCCCUGAAGAUAAAAAUUCUGGCCUUUGAGUCAGGGUCUUCACUCUGUACUUCUAACCUUGGCUCCGGGGUAUUGCCGAAACCAGUCCAGGCACGUCACAAAUGUCUGACUUCUCCCAGAGGCUUCAGAAGCACAAUGAGCAGCAGAGGAGAGCCAUGGAGCCAAGCACAGUCUCAUUUAACCUCCCCAAAAGCUUGGGAAGUGGGUGGUGUUAUAGCCCCAUUUUACAGAUGAGAAAAACUGAGGCUUAUUUAAGCAGCUCACCUAAAGUCACAUAUUGAUUGUGCUGAGCUGAGAUUGUACCCUAAUCUGCCUUCAAAUCCAUGUUUUUACCCAUUGCAUGUGAUUAUGGAACCUGGGACCGAGGAGCAGGAGGAGAACAUUCUAAAUUCUGCUCCCAUCUUGUCUUUACAUCUCAGGUCACUUUUAGCAAAGACAGACCCGGACACUUGCCAUUAAUACUACAGGCUUCCUUCCUCCUACCCCCUUCCCCCAAUCUUAUUCAUCUCACCUCUCCAGUAGGUCGUGGACUCAUGCAUUUUAUAAUUAAAGAAGGCCAAGGCUCAGGGGUUAAGUGACUUACUGGAGGUUAUCAGAGAGGAAGUUGCCAAACCCAGGCUAGGAACUGAAUGGUUGGUUUAAAUCCACCCCUCUGGCAGGAGACUGGGGAAUACACAUGAGCCGUGCAGACAGCAGAGGGCAGUCCUGGGGGUGGGGGCGCCAGAGGGUUUCCGGUACUUUUCAGGGCAAUUGAAGUUCCGGUCACUACUCCCCCCCAGAGCAAUAAGCCACAUCCGGCGACGUGUGGCACCCCACCCUGGCUGCUACAGAUGGGGCUGGAUGCAGAAGAGAACUCCAGCUGGUCCUUAGGGACACGGCGGCCUUGGCGCUGAAGGCCACUCGCUCCCACCUUGUCCUCACGGUCCAGUUUUCCCAGGAAUCCCUUAGAUGCUAAGAUGGGGAUUCCUGGAAAUACUGUUCUUGAGGUCAUGGUUUCACAGCUGGAUUUGCCUCCUUCCCACCCCACAGUUGCCCCCCAAUGGGGCCUCGGCUGGCUCACAGGAUGAGGGUUCAAGAAGAAGGCUGUCCCUGGAGGUAAGAGGGCUUAUGAACCAUGUUCCAAACCUUUGCGUUGCUUUUCUUUCCAUCGUGUCUAUUUCAUAACAUCCCUGUGAGGCUGGAUGUGGGAACUUCAGCACUGCCGUACUCUUGGGAAAUUUGUCCAAGGCCACCCGGCUGAGCAGCGGUUGAACCAGGACACCAUCAGGCAUGCGUUUCUUGUCUCCACCACACCCUCAACCCACUUCCCAACGCGCCUUGCGACAGGGGCUGCGGUAUUGCAUCCACAUGACUGAUAAACUAGUAAACACACAUGAAUUCAUUUUAAAAGUGUAUUCAAUCAGUUAGGUAAACUAAAAACCUUAAGUCUUCGUUCGAUUUGGAAUGCAGCCAGAGAACAAAUGGAAAAUUUUUCAAGGUAGAGAAGAUGAAAACUCAGAACGCCCUCUUGUGGCAUCUCUACCCACCCUAGGAACACUAUGGCUCUUCCCCUACACAUGGUGAUUGCUAACCUUGCUACAAGACGUUGGACACACACACACACACACACACACACACACACACACUGAGGUUCCUUUUGCCCCCUCACUUUUGAGCCAGUGACUACUGAAACCCUCUCCAUUGUUGCACCACCAGCAAUGCCCCCAUCACUUCCUCUCAUUUACUUCCACAGGCUGGUUCAUCCUCAAAGCCCUCCUUACGUAGAUCUGUGGGAUCAGUGAGGCUCAGAGAGGUAAAGUGGCCAGCCCAAGGUCGCCCAGACAGCAAAAGGCAGGGCCAGCGCUGAUUUCAAGUCCAAUGGCCUAUGGCAAUUUCUUAGCCAAAAGCAAAAUCUACAAAAAUAAAAAGUCAGGCACAGUGGUGAGUGCCUACAGUCCCAGCUACUGAGGAGGCCGACGGGGGAGGACCACUUGAGCUUGGGAGUUCCUGGCUGCAGAGAGCUAUGAUUGUGCCUGUGAAUAGCCAAUGCACUCCAGCCUGAGCAAGAUAGGGAGACCCUGUCUCUAAAAAAUACCUAAAUAAUUUUAAAAGUCAGCCUCUCUGACUGCCUAUAGAGAAUGCUAACUAACUGAAUGACAGAAGACCUAAUGUAAUCCAGGUGCAAAAUCAGAACUUUCCGGCCGGGCGCGGUGGCUCACACCUGUAAUCCCAACACUUUGGGAGGCCCAGGCGGGUGGAUCACGAGGUCAGGAGUUCAAGACCGGCCUGCCCAACAUGGCAAAACCCCGUCUCUACUAAAAAUACAAAAAAUUAGCUGGGCAUGGUGGUGGCCACCUAUAAUCUCAGCUACUCAGGAGGCUGAGGCAGGAGAAUUGCUUGGACCCGGGAGGCAGAGGUUGCAGUGAGCUGAGAUCGCGCCACUGCACUCCAGCGUGGGGGACAAAAGCGAAACUCUGUCUCAAAAAAAAAAAAAUUAGAACUUUCCCCGUACUCUUGCUAGGGCUUUUCAUGGAGAUGUAGAAAUGGUAGUAAGUGCCAAGGCCCCAGAACCCUCAUGUUUGGGUCCGACUCCCACAUUGCCAGAGACUAGGCAGCUCACACAGGUGUCCCAAGCUGUCUUUCUCACAGGCCGCAUUGAAGGCAUUUAUGAAAUGAGACCCCCUCUUCCUCAUCCGUAGUGACAGGGCUGGCCUGACCGUGGAGAAAUCAGAUUUGAUCAUGAUAGCUUCCACUCCGUGACUGGUCACGAUCUGCCAGGCGCUGUGCUAAACACUUUCAUAGGCCUUGUCCCCCUCCAUCCUGAUAACACCCCAGUGAAGCAGGCCCUGCUCUUCACUCCACUCCACAAAGCCAAGGCUGAGAGAGGUUAACAGACUUACCUAAGGUCACACAGCUAAGAAGUCGUGAAGCUGGGAUCGAAUCAAGUCUGUGUUUAUGGGUUUAACUAUCAUGUUGUGGCCCCAACCCCAUUUGACCUAGCCUGGCUGGUGGGCCUUCUUGCAGUAGCUUCCCCUGGAGAAGAGGAAAAGCAAACCUUCAUUGAGACCCAAGCGGUCUCUCCUGUGCUCUGUGACAAUAAUAAAGUUCCAGCCCUUGG
RNAcentral lists this long non-coding RNA (8230 nucleotides) under Homo sapiens (human). RNAcentral describes it as "HSALNT0330181". The stretch from base 6042 to 6127 matches the Rfam family "mir-145 microRNA precursor family". Lineage: Eukaryota; Metazoa; Chordata; Mammalia; Primates; Hominidae. The record is from RNAcentral.